GGAAGUAAAAUCGUAACAAGGUCUCCGUAGGUGAACCUGCGGAGGGAUCAUUACAGAGUUCAUGCCCUACCGGGUAGAUCUCCCACCCUAUGUUAUUAUUACUUUGUUGCUUUGGCGGGCCGUUAGGCUCCGGCCCGACUACCGGCCCCGGCUGGUAAGCGCCCGCCAGAGGACCCAAAACCCUGAAUAUUAGUGUCGUCUGAGUACUAUAUAAUAGUUAAAACUUUCAACAACGAAUCUCUUGGUUCUG
RNAcentral lists this unclassified non-coding RNA (250 nucleotides) under plant metagenome. Its description in RNAcentral is "partial contains small subunit ribosomal RNA, internal transcribed spacer 1, and 5.8S ribosomal RNA". The stretch from base 1 to 53 matches the Rfam family "Eukaryotic small subunit ribosomal RNA", at positions 1778 to 1831 of the family's 1831-position model. The record is from RNAcentral.